Molecule: ribosomal RNA, 757 nt
Filed under: uncultured bacterium
Lineage: Bacteria
Description: bacterial SSU rRNA
Rfam family: Bacterial small subunit ribosomal RNA
Source: RNAcentral
AGUGGCGAACGGGUGAGUAACGCGUGAGCAACCUGACCUUUAGAGGGGGAUAACACUUGGAAACAGGUGCUAAUACCGCAUAAGACCACGACCCGACAUCGGGAUGAGGUCAAAGGAGUAAUCCGCUAGAGGAGGGGCUCGCGUCCCAUUAGAUAGAUGGCGGGGUAACGGCCCACCAUGUCGACGAUGGGUAGCCGAGCUGAGAGGCUGAUCGGCCACACUGGAACUGAGACACGGUCCAGACUCCUACGGGAGGCAGCAGUGGGGAAUAUUGGGCAAUGGGCGCAAGCCUGACCCAGCAACGCCGCGUGAGGGAAGAAGGCCUUCGGGUUGUAAACCUCUGUCCUUGGUGACGAAAAAAAUGACGGUAGCCAAGGAGGAAGCCCCGGCUAACUACGUGCCAGCAGCCGCGGUAAUACGUAGGGGGCGAGCGUUGUCCGGAAUUACUGGGCGUAAAGGGUGCGUAGGUGGCCUUUUAAGUUGGAUGUGAAAUACCCGAGCUUAACUUGGGGGGUGCAUCUAAUACUGGGAGGCUAGAGUGCAGGAGAGGGAAGCGGAAUUCCUAGUGUAGCGGUGAAAUGCGUAGAUAUUAGGAGGAACACCAGUGGCGAAGGCGGCUUUCUGGACUGUAACUGACACUGAGGCACGAAAGCGUGGGGAGCAAACAGGAUUAGAUACCCUGGUAGUCCACGCGGUAAACGAUGAAUACUAGGUGUAGGGGGUAUCAACUCCCCCUGUGCCGCAGCUAACGCAAUAA